GUUACUGCUAUCGGAGUUCGAUUAAGCCAUGCGAGUCUAAAGGUUUCUUCGGAAACCUUGGCGGACCGCUCAGUAACACGUGGAUAACCUACCCUUGGGACUGGAAUAACCCCGGGAAACUGGGGAUAAUACCGGACAGAUCAGGGAUGCUGGAAUGCACCUUGAUCCAAAGCUCCGGCGCCCAAGGAUGGGUCUGCGGCCUAUCAGGUAGUAGUGGGUGUAACGUACCUACUAGCCAACGACGGGUACGGGUUGUGAAAGCAAGAGCCCGGAGAUGGAUUCUGAGACACGAAUCCAGGCCCUACGGGGUGCAGCAGGCGCGAAACCUUUACAAUGUGCGAAAGCAUGAUAAGGGAACUCCGAGUGCCAGUAUCUAAUACUGGCUGUCCUUGUGCCUAAAACGCACAAGAUAGCAAGGGCCGGGUAAGACCGGUGCCAGCCGCCGCGGUAACACCGGCGGCCCGAGUGGUAGCCGCUAAUAUUGGGUCUAAAGGGUCCGUAGCCGGUUCGAUAAGUCCUCUGGGAAAUCUGGUUGCUUAACAAUCAGACUGCCAAGGGAUACUGUCGAACUUGAGACCGGGAGAGGUAAGAGGUACUUCAGGGGUAGGAGUGAAAUCUUGUAAUCCCUGGGGGACCAUCUGUGGCGAAGGCGUCUUACCAGAACGGGUCUGACGGUGAGGGACGAAAGCUGGGGGCGCAAACCGGAUUAGAUACCCGGGUAGUCCCAGCCGUAAACGAUGCUCGCUAUGUGUCAGGUACGGUGUGACCGUAUCUGGUGCCGUAGGGAAGCCGAGAAGCGAGCCACCUGGGAAGUACGGCCGCAAGGCUGAAACUUAAUGGAAUUGGCGGGGGAGCACUACAACGGGUGGAGCCUGCGGUUUAAUUGGAUUCAACGCCGGA
This 900-nucleotide ribosomal RNA is filed under the name uncultured archaeon. Its description in RNAcentral is "bacterial SSU rRNA". It matches the Rfam family "Archaeal small subunit ribosomal RNA", at positions 23 to 922 of the family's 1478-position model. The record is from RNAcentral.